UUAGGCCGUUAGUUUUCUCGUUUGAAUUGUUUUACAUUGUCAUUUCGGGGACUUUUAUAUUUAGGUAUGCGGUAUGGGCUUGGCUAAUUGCCGAAGUACGGUAACCUAUAGUUGUUAAAUUCUGUGUCAUUUUGGUCUUUUAUGGAGAGUUGUCUCAUUAGCAAUCAUACCACUUCUGAUUUUUUUAUAUGACUUAUCUUGCAGAUUCAAGUUUUACUGCUGAAAUUAAGUAGAUGAUCAUCCACUACCGGUUGAUUCCCUGAUUCCAAAAAUAUGUGGUUCCUAUGUAAUUCCAUUUAAAAUAAUGAAGAUUAGGGGUAUAAUCGGCUACGUCCGAUGUACAAAAUACAAAAAUUGGUGUCAAAUGAUAUAUUUCAUUACAUUUAAGCAUUUAAUCA
Molecule: long non-coding RNA, 398 nt
Filed under: Mytilus galloprovincialis (Mediterranean mussel)
Lineage: Eukaryota; Metazoa; Mollusca; Bivalvia; Mytilida; Mytilidae
Source: RNAcentral